UAAAUACUAAUACCAGAUCGAUAGUGCACAAGUACCGUGAGGGAAAGGUGAAAAGAACUGAGGUGAUCAGAGUGAAAUAGAACCUGAAACCAUUUGCUUACAAUCAUUCAGAGCACUAUGUAGCAAUACAGUGUGAUGGACUGCCUUUUGCAUAAUGAGCCUGCGAGUUGUGGUGUCUGGCAAGGUUAAGCAAACGCGAAGCCGUAGCGAAAGCGAGUCUGAAUAGGGCGCUUAGUCAGAUGCUGCAGACCCGAAACGAAGUGAUCUAUCCAUGAGCAAGUUGAAGCUAGUGUAAGAACUAGUGGAGGACUGAACCCAUAGGCGUUGAAAAGCCCCGGGAUGACUUGUGGAUAGGGGUGAAAGGCCAAUCAAACUUCGUGAUAGCUGGUUCUCUCCGAAAUAUAUUUAGGUAUAGCGUUGUGUCGUAAUAUAAGGGGGUAGAGCACUGAAUGGGCUAGGGCAUACACCAAUGUACCAAACCCUAUCAAACUCCGAAUACCUUAUAUGUAAUCACAGCAGUCAGGCGGCGAGUGAUAAAAUCCGUCGUCAAGAGGGAAACAACCCAGACUACCAGCUAAGGUCCCUAAAUCUUACUUAAGUGGAAAACGAUGUGAAGUUACUUAAACAACCAGGAGGUUGGCUUAGAAGCAGCCAUCCUUUAAAGAAAGCGUAAUAGCUCACUGGUCUAGUGAUUUUGCGCGGAAAAUAUAACGGGGCUAAAGUAAGUACCGAAGCUGUAGACUUGCACACAACUUAGAUUAUUUAAGUUUAGAAUAUGAGAAACUAAGUUAUAUGUUUAGUUAUAUUUUUACUGAUUUUUAUAGAGUAAAGAUAGAAAUAAAACUUAGUAAAAUCAGUAAAAAUAUUCUUAGGCUAAAGUUAAGUAGUUUAAGUUGUGUGCAAGUGGUAGGAGAGCGUUCUAUUUGCGUCGAAGGUAUACCGGUAAGGAGUGCUGGAGCGAAUAGAAGUGAGCAUGCAGGCAUGAGUAGCGAUAAUUAAUGUGAGAAUCAUUAACGCCGUAAACCCAAGGUUUCCUACGCGAUGCUCGUCAUCGUAGGGUUAGUCGGGUCCUAAGUCGAGUCCGAAAGGGGUAGACGAUGGCAAAUUGGUUAAUAUUCCAAUACCAACAUUAGUGUGCGAUGGAAGGACGCUUAGGGCUAAGGGGGCUAGCGGAUGGAAGUGCUAGUCUAAGGUUGUAGGAGGUUAUACAGGCAAAUCCGUAUAACAAUACUCCGAGAACUGAAAGGCUUUUUGAAGUCUUCGGAUGGAUAGAAGAACCCCUGAUGCCGUCGAGCCAAGAAAAGUUUCUAAGUUUAGCUAAUGUUGCCCGUACCGUAAACCGACACAGGUGGGUGGGAUGAGUAUUCUAAGGCGCGUGGAAGAACUCUCUUUAAGGAACUCUGCAAAAUAGCACCGUAUCUUCGGUAUAAGGUGUG
This 1436-nucleotide ribosomal RNA is filed under the name Campylobacter jejuni. Its description in RNAcentral is "bacterial LSU rRNA". It matches the Rfam family "Bacterial large subunit ribosomal RNA", at positions 467 to 1750 of the family's 2925-position model. Lineage: Bacteria; Pseudomonadati; Campylobacterota; Epsilonproteobacteria; Campylobacterales; Campylobacteraceae. The record is from RNAcentral.